Molecule: ribosomal RNA, 401 nt
Filed under: uncultured bacterium
Lineage: Bacteria
Description: bacterial SSU rRNA
Rfam family: Bacterial small subunit ribosomal RNA
Source: RNAcentral
CGCAAGCCUGAUGCAGCAACGCCGUGUGAGUGAAGAAGGUUUCGGAUCGUAAAACUCUGUCCUAAGGGAAGAAACAAAUGACGGUACCUUAGGAGGAAGCCCCGGCUAACUACGUGCCAGCAGCCGCGGUAAUACGUAGGGGGCAAGCGUUAUCCGGAAUCACUGGGCGUAAAGGGUGCGUAGGCGGCUUAGCAAGCCAGGGGUGAAAGGCAUUGGCUCAACCAAUGUAAGCCUUUGGAACUGUUAAGCUUGAGUGCAGGAGAGGUAAGUGGAAUUCCUAGUGUAGAGGUGAAAUUCGUAGAUAUUAGGAGGAACACCAGUGGCGAAGGCGACUUACUGGACUGUAACUGACGCUGAUGCACGAAAGCGUGGGUAGCGAACAGGAUUAGAUACCCUGGUAG